CAACCUGCCCUUCAGAGGGGGACGAACAGUUGGAAACGACUGCUAAUACCGCAUACGAUCUAAUCUCGGCAUCGAGGAAAGAUGAAAGGUGGCCUCUAUUUAUAAGCUAUCACUGAAGGAGGGGAUUGCGUCUGAUUAGCUAGUUGGAGGGGUAACGGCCCACCAAGGCGAUGAUCAGUAGCCGGUCUGAGAGGAUGAACGGCCACAUUGGGACUGAGACACGGCCCAGACUCCUACGGGAGGCAGCAUG
RNAcentral lists this ribosomal RNA (250 nucleotides) under uncultured bacterium. Its description in RNAcentral is "partial 16S ribosomal RNA". It matches the Rfam family "Bacterial small subunit ribosomal RNA", at positions 122 to 353 of the family's 1533-position model. The record is from RNAcentral.